GCGAACGCUGGCGGCGUGCUUAACACAUGCAAGUCGAGCGAGAAAGUCCCGCAAGGGAUGAGUACAGCGGCGAACGGGUGCGUAACACGUGGGUCAUCUGUCCUUGAGACCGGAAUAACCCAGCGAAAGUUGGGCUAAUGCCGGAUAAGACCACGAGCAGAAAUGUUUGAGGUCAAAGGGUGCUUCUUCUAGGAGCAUUCACUCAGGGAGGAACCCGCGGCCUAUCAGCUAGUUGGUAGGGUAACGGCCUACCAAGGCAAAGACGGGUAGCUGGUCUGAGAGGAUGACCAGCCACACGGGGACUGAGACACGGCCCCGACUCCUACGGGAGGCAGGCAGUGGGGAAUAUUGGGCAAUGGGGGAAACCCUGACCCAGCGAACGCCGCGUGGGUGAUGAAGGCCUUCGGGUCGUAAAGCCCUGUCGGGAGGAACGAAUGACCUCGUCGC
This 447-nucleotide ribosomal RNA is filed under the name uncultured bacterium. Its description in RNAcentral is "bacterial SSU rRNA". It matches the Rfam family "Bacterial small subunit ribosomal RNA", at positions 29 to 461 of the family's 1533-position model. The record is from RNAcentral.